This 114-nucleotide ribosomal RNA is filed under the name Capronia americana. Its description in RNAcentral is "Phialophora americana partial large subunit ribosomal RNA". Lineage: Eukaryota; Fungi; Ascomycota; Eurotiomycetes; Chaetothyriales; Herpotrichiellaceae. The record is from RNAcentral.
CGGCAACAGCUCAAAUUUGAAAUCUGGCCUCUCGGGGUCCGAGUUGUAAUUUGUAGAGGAUGUUUUGGGUACCGCCCCGGUCUAAAUUUCUUGGAACAGAAUGUCAAAGAGGGU